Molecule: non-coding RNA, 107 nt
Organism: Diatrype stigma
Lineage: Eukaryota; Fungi; Ascomycota; Sordariomycetes; Xylariales; Diatrypaceae
Source: the annotation of a GenBank genome assembly
GCCCGGAUGGUCUAGAGGUAUGAUUCUCGCUUAGGGUUCCAAACUUCCUAAGUUCACUACUUGUGAUGGUAUGCGAGAGGUCCCAGGUUCGAUCCCUGGUUCGGGCC